AUAACCUUGACUUGUAUUCCUCCUGAGUUGCCUGCCCCUUCUUCCAAAGAUCUUAAACUCUCCUUUUUUUCCUGAGUUCCAGCCAAAGCUCUCUGUUCAGUCAGGCCAGUCUUCUUCCCCUCUAGGUUGUCCUUUGGCACAUGGGGACAGCCUGCUCCUGUGCCUGUAAGAUUUCCGUCUUGAAGAAUGUCCAGCCUUCCUGGACUCCUUUGCCCUUCAGGACUGCCUCCCAAGGGACUCUGUUGACCAGGUCCCUAAACAGGCCAAAGUCUGACCUCCGGAAGUCCAA
Aquila chrysaetos chrysaetos is the source of this 289-nucleotide long non-coding RNA. RefSeq lists it as uncharacterized. The record is from RefSeq and is a predicted model, not a curated record. NCBI's taxonomy places the organism in Eukaryota, Metazoa, Chordata, Aves, Accipitriformes, Accipitridae. The transcript is spliced from 3 exons.